RNAcentral lists this ribosomal RNA (1476 nucleotides) under uncultured cyanobacterium. RNAcentral describes it as "16S ribosomal RNA". It matches the Rfam family "Bacterial small subunit ribosomal RNA". Lineage: Bacteria; Bacillati; Cyanobacteriota. The record is from RNAcentral.
AGAGUUUGAUCCUGGCUCAGGAUGAACGCUGGCGGCGUGCUUAACACAUGCAAGUCGAACGAACCUUCGGGUUAGUGGCGGACGGGUGAGUAACGCGUGAGAAUCUGCCCUCAGGAGGGGGAUAACGGCUGGAAACGGCCGCUAAUACCCCAUAUGCCGAGAGGUGAAAUGAAUUUCGCCUGAGGAUGAGCUCGCGUCUGAUUAGCUAGUUGGUGUGGUAAAGGCUCACCAAGGCUUCGAUCAGUAGCUGGUCUGAGAGGAUGAUCAGCCACACUGGGACUGAGACACGGCCCAGACUCCUACGGGAGGCAGCAGUGGGGAGUUUUCCGCAAUGGGCGCAAGCCUGACGGAGCAACGCCGCGUGAGGGAUGAAGGCCUCUGGGCUGUAAACCUCUUUUAUCAAGGAAGAAGAUCUGACGGUACUUGAUGAAUAAGCCACGGCUAAUUCCGUGCCAGCAGCCGCGGUAAUACGGGAGUGGCAAGCGUUAUCCGGAAUUAUUGGGCGUAAAGCGUCCGCAGGCGGUCUUGUAAGUCUGUCGUUAAAGCGUGGAGCUUAACUCCAUUUAAGCGAUGGAAACUGUAAGACUAGAGUGUGGUAGGGGCAGAGGGAAUUCCCGGUGUAGCGGUGAAAUGCGUAGAUAUCGGGAAGAACACCAGUGGCGAAGGCGCUCUGCUGGGCCAUAACUGACGCUCAUGGACGAAAGCCAGGGGAGCGAAAGGGAUUAGAUACCCCUGUAGUCCUGGCCGUAAACGAUGAACACUAGGUGUCGGGGGAAUCGACCCCCUCGGUGUCGUAGCCAACGCGUUAAGUGUUCCGCCUGGGGAGUACGCACGCAAGUGUGAAACUCAAAGGAAUUGACGGGGGCCCGCACAAGCGGUGGAGUAUGUGGUUUAAUUCGAUGCAACGCGAAGAACCUUACCAGGGUUUGACAUCCUGCGAAUCUCUUGGAAACGAGAGAGUGCCUUCGGGAACGCAGUGACAGGUGGUGCAUGGCUGUCGUCAGCUCGUGUCGUGAGAUGUUGGGUUAAGUCCCGCAACGAGCGCAACCCACGUCGUUAGUUGCCAGCAUUUAGUUGGGCACUCUAGCGAGACCGCCGGUGAUAAACCGGAGGAAGGUGUGGACGACGUCAAGUCAUCAUGCCCCUUACAUCCUGGGCUACACACGUACUACAAUGCUACGGACAAAGGGCAGCAAACUCGCGAGAGCUAGCAAAUCCCAUAAACCGUGGCUCAGUUCAGAUCGUAGGCUGCAACUCGCCUACGUGAAGGAGGAAUCGCUAGUAAUCGCAGGUCAGCAUACUGCGGUGAAUACGUUCCCGGGCCUUGUACACACCGCCCGUCACACCAUGGAAGUUGGCCACGCCCGAAGCCGUUACUCCAACCCUUGUGGAGGAGGAUGUCGAAGGUGGGGCUGAUGACUGGGGUGAAGUCGUAACAAGGUAGCCGUACCGGAAGGUGCGGCUGGAUCACCUCCU